AGGGCCGCGGUAAUUUGACCGUGCGAAGGUAGCAUAAUCAUUAGUUUUUUAAUUGGAAGCUUGUAUGAAGGGUCGGAUGAGGGGUUAGCUGUCUUUUUACAAAUUUUGGAAUUUAACUUUUAAGUGAAAAGGCUUAAAUUUCAUAAGGGGACGAUAAGACCCUAUAAAACUUUAUAUGGUUGCUUUUCAUUUUAAGAAUUUUUAAUUUAACUGAAAGGGUGCUAUAUUUUGUUGGGGAGACAUAGAUAUAAUAAUAACUGUCUAUUUAAAUAAAAUGAAUAUGAAAAGUUUAUGAUCCUUUAUUGGAGAUUAUAAGACUAAGUUACUUUAGGGAUAACAGCGUGAUUUUCUUUGAGAGUUCUUAUCGACAGGAAUAGUUGCGACCUCGAUGUUGAAUUAAAAUUUCCUUGGGGUGCAGCAGCUCUUUAGGUGGGUCUGUUCGACCUUUAAAAUUUU
Molecule: ribosomal RNA, 456 nt
Filed under: Actinimenes ornatus
Lineage: Eukaryota; Metazoa; Arthropoda; Malacostraca; Decapoda; Palaemonidae
Description: partial 16S ribosomal RNA
Rfam family: Bacterial large subunit ribosomal RNA
Source: RNAcentral